GCCGACUUAGCUCAGUUGGUAGAGCGUCUCAUUUGUAAUGAGAGGGUCGGGCGUUCGAAUCGUCUAGUCGGCA
Molecule: transfer RNA, 73 nt
Filed under: Lacticaseibacillus pabuli
Lineage: Bacteria; Bacillati; Bacillota; Bacilli; Lactobacillales; Lactobacillaceae
Description: Lacticaseibacillus sp. KACC 23028 tRNA-Thr
Rfam family: tRNA
About the family: Transfer RNA (tRNA) molecules are approximately 80 nucleotides in length.
Source: RNAcentral